CGGGGCGUAGCGCAGCCUGGUAGCGCACUUGACUGGGGGUCAAGGGGUCGCAAGUUCAAAUCUUGUCGUCCCGACCA
RNAcentral lists this transfer RNA (77 nucleotides) under Rhodospirillaceae bacterium. RNAcentral's name for it is "tRNA-Pro". It matches the Rfam family "tRNA". From Rfam's summary of the family: Transfer RNA (tRNA) molecules are approximately 80 nucleotides in length. RNAcentral also lists the same sequence under 1 other name. The record is from RNAcentral. Lineage: Bacteria; Pseudomonadati; Pseudomonadota; Alphaproteobacteria; Rhodospirillales; Rhodospirillaceae.